UUUGUCAACUGACUUUGGGUAUGUUCAGCCAAUGAAAGUUACCAGCAGAAGACUGGCAGAUGGGAGGAGGGAAGAAGCCAGGAUUUAUUUCCCUCUGAAGCUCAGCCAGGGGCUCCCUUCAGGUGGCCCCCUCUGUGGUUCUGGCUCCUGCAGGGUGAUCCUAGCCUCUUGGCAUCAGAGCACCAUUCACUUCCUUUAUCUCUCCAGUCUUAAGAGUAGUAGUGACUUCCGGCUGUUGCUCAUCUUUGGAUUGCCUCAUCAUCCCCCAUUUGGUCAUUCAAUUCUUUCCCUGUAUCAAAUUUCCCUUGUCUGAAAUACCUAGGGUAAUUUCUGUUUUGCUGACUGGUUGUUAACUGACGUAUACUCUAUAGUCCACUCUCUACACAGGGGCUGAAGUGGAUCCCGCUAAAAACAAAGCAGAUGGGGGCAUGACCCAGCUCUCAUCCCUCCAAGAGCUUCCCAUCAUCAGAAUAGAUGAGAAUAGAAUCUCAGCUCCUCUGGAACUAAAAAAAAAAAAGGCAGAUAAAAGGGAGCUAGGCCCUUUUAUCUACCUUUUCCAUCCCUUUCUGAGCUCACCCUCCUCCUUGCCCACAGUAUUUCUAGCCACAGCAGUCUGCUUGCUGUUCCUUCCGCCCAUCAAGCCAGUUUCUUUGCAUUUGCUGUUUCCAUUGCAAGAACACCCUUGCUGCAGAUCUGUCCAUGGCUUGCUCCCUCACAUGAUUCAGGUCUCUGCUCUAGAGGGACCUUCAGCGACCAUCUUUUUUUUUUUUUGAGACGGAGUCUUGCUCUGUCUCCCAGGCUGGAGUGCAGUGGCACAUCUCGGCUCACUGCAAGCCCCACCUCCCAAGUUCACACCAUUCUCCUGCCUCAGCCUCCCGCAUAGGUGGGACUACAGGCACCUGCCACCACCCUGGCUAAUUUUUUGUAUUUUUUUUUAGUAGAGAUGGGGUUUCACCGUGUUAGCCAGGAUGGUCUUGAUCUCCUGAUCUCAUGAUCCACCCGCCUCAGCCUCCCAAAGUGCUGGGAUUACAGGCAUGAGCCACCAUGCCCGGCCUUCUUUUUUUUUUUUUUUUUGGGACGGGGUCUCGCUCUGUCGCCCAGGCUGGAGUGCAGUGGCACGAUCUCAGCUCACUGCAAGCUCCACCUCCCGGGUUCAUGCCAUUCUCCUGCCUCAGCGUCCCGAGUAGUUGGCACUACAGGUGCCCGCCACCACGCUCGGCUAAUUUUUUUUUUUUUUUUUGUAUUUUUAGUAGAGACGGGGUUUCAUCGUGUUAGCCAGGAUGGUCUCGAUCUCCUGACAUCGUGAUCCGCCCGCCUCGGCCUCCCAAAGUGCUGGGAUUACAGGCAUGAGCCAUCGCGCCCAGCUUGCGACCAUCUUUUCUAAAAUUGUUCCACCUUCCCAUCACUCAAAUCCUUUUAUCCUGCUUUAUUUUUCUUCCCGGCACUUUCCCUACCUGCUGUGGUAUUUCAUAUUUAUGCAUACAUUUGCUUAGAGCCUGCUUUACUAGAAUGUAAGCUCCAUGACAGCAGGGACCUCAUCUGAGCCUCACUUGUGCCUGUGGCCCUAGCACCCCUCACAGACACACGGUCAGCAUUGCUGCAGAUCUAGAUGGUGAAGACAGGACAUGGACCUCCUGGUUUAACUGAUUUUGUGCUGGAAUUCAAAGGGCUCCAGCGCAGUUCUCCAUUAUUCAGAUGAGAAAAGUAGAGUGGAGAAAUGGGUCCCAGGUCACACAGCUGAGUUUUGCUUCCUAGAGCUCUGUCCACACAGCUGUCCCUUCCUGUCCUUGGCUACAACUUGAAUUUGGGCAUUUGCCUCUAGGAGGUGAAGAUGGAUUUUUGAAGUUUUGGUCCUUACCCAGGCAGCCCUGUAGGCCUGGGGCAGCCCCUGAGUUACCAGAGCCUGGAGAGAGCUCGGUGGGGCCAAGUGGGAACAGCAAAUGAGAAAAGUGGACUGGGGAACGCGAUAGGGAGGGGUGGGGACUGUGGUGGGUUGCAGAGUUCAUGCUCCCUUCGACAUCAUUAAUAUAAAUAAAAAAUUAAAACACUUCCUU
This 2054-nucleotide long non-coding RNA is filed under the name Homo sapiens (human). RNAcentral describes it as "non-protein coding lnc-PCBP4-2:1". Lineage: Eukaryota; Metazoa; Chordata; Mammalia; Primates; Hominidae. The record is from RNAcentral.